CCUUGUACACACCGCCCGUCACACCACGGGGGUCGAUUGGUCCCGAAGUGCGUGAGCUAACCCGCAAGGGAGGCAGCGCCCUAAGGAAUGGUCGGUGACUGGGGUG
RNAcentral lists this ribosomal RNA (106 nucleotides) under uncultured bacterium. RNAcentral describes it as "partial 16S ribosomal RNA". It matches the Rfam family "Bacterial small subunit ribosomal RNA", at positions 1379 to 1482 of the family's 1533-position model. The record is from RNAcentral.